CCUGCUGGGCCACCAGGUUGAUCUACUGUAUUAGGUCUCUACUAGUAGUAACAGUAGACUACUCCCUGCUGGGCCACCAGGUUGAUCUACUGUAUUAGGUCUCUACUAGUAGUAACAGUAGACUACUCCCUGCUGGGCCACCAGGUUGAUCUACUGUAGUGAGUCUCUACUAGUAGUAACAGUAGACUACUCCCUGCUGGGCCACCAGGUUGAUCUACUGUAGUGAGUCUCUACUAGUAGUAACAGUAGACUACUCCCUGCUGGGCCACCAGGUUGAUCUACUGUAGUGAGUCUCUACUAGUAGUAACAGUACAUUACUCCCUGCUGGGCCACCAGGUUGAUCUACUGUAGUGAGUCUCUACUAGUAGUAACAGUACAUUACUCCCUGCUGGGCCACCAGGUUGAUCUACUGUAGUGAGUCUCUACUAGUAGUAACAGUACAUUACUCCCUGCUGGGCCACCAGGUUGAUCUACUGUAGUGAGUCUCUACUAGUAGUAACAGUACAUUACUCCCUGCUGGGCCACCAGGUUGAUCUACUGUAGUGAGUCUCUACUAGUAGUAACAGUACAUUACUCCCUGCUGGGCCACCAGGUUGAUCUACUGUAGUGAGUCUCUACUAGUAGUAACAGUACAUUACUCCCUGCUGGGCCACCAGGUUGAUCUACUGUAGUGAGUCUCUACUAGUAGUAACAGUACAUUACUCCCUGCUGGGCCACCAGGUUGAUCUACUGUAGUGAGUCUCUACUAGUAGUAACAGUACAUUACUCCCUGCUGGGCCACCAGGUUGAGCUAUUGAGUCUCAGGCUGGUAGGGCUUUCUUUUUUCUGAAAUCAAGCGCAGUAGGCGGAAUAAAUAAACAAAUAUUCAAUACUGUCACUGAGUGAGUCUGAAAUGUCACUACUAUAAUGCCUUACUUUUGACUCGAGCCCAUAGGGCUCUGAUCAAAAGCAGUGCACUAUAAAGGGAAUAGGGUGCCAUUUGGCACCUUGGUCAAAGGUAGUGCCAAUUUCGAUGCAGCCACUAUUUACAUGGUUUAGACGCAAUACUCUCCCAUUACCGAAUUCAUACCGCUACCUAAAUAGUAAAGACCCCCUUUAUUGGGUCAUAGCCAACAAAUCAGCCUGUUACCAACCCUUAGUAGUUUUAGAAAAAAUGGUUUGACCAGUUACAAUGCUAUUUUACAGUAAACAAAUUGACAACUGACUUUCAGCACGCUUCUAGGGAAGGACAUUCAACAAGCACAACACUUACACAAAUGACUGAUUGGCUGAGCGAAAUUGAUAAAAAGAUGUUGGUCUGUUUUGUUAGACUUCAGUGCGGCUUUUGACAUUAUCGGUCAUAGUCUGCUGCUGGAAAAUUGUGUUAUGGCUGCUAUGUUGUGGAUAAAGAGUUACCUGUCUAACAGAACAGAGGUUAUUUAAUGGAAGCCUCUCCAACAUAAUCCAGGUAGAAUCAGGAAUUCCCCUAGCCAAUUGUGUUGGCCUCUUUCAAUAUUUACUAACAACAUGCCACUGGCUUUAUUCAAAGCUAAAUAUGUCUGCAUGCGGAUGACUCCACUAUACACAUCAGCAACUACAGUGAUUGAAAUGGUGGCAACACUCAAGGAGCUGCAGUUUCAGAAUGGGUGGCAAGGAAUACGUUGGUCCUACAUUUUACAAACUAAAAGCAUUGUAUUUGGGAGAAUUCAUUCACAAAACCCUAAACCUCAACUAAAUAUUGUAAUAAAUACUGUGCAAGUCGAGGUGACUAAACUGCUUGGAGUAACCCUGGAUUGUAAACUGUCAUGGUCAAAACAUACUGAUGCAGUAGUAGCUAAGAUGGGCAGAAGUCUGUCCAUAAAGCACUGCUCUACCUUAACAGCACUAUCAACAAGGCAGGUCCUACAGGCCCUAGUUUAGUCGCACCUGGACUACUGUUCAGUCGUGUGGUCAGGUGCCACAAAGUGACUUAGGAAAAUUGCAACUGGCUCAGAACAGGGCAGAACGGUUGGCCCUUGGAUGUACACAGCAACCAUUAACAAUAUGCAUGUCAAUCUCUCCUUGAUCAAAGUGGAGGAGAGGAUGACUUCAUCACUACUUGUGUUUGUAAGAGGUAUUGACAUGUUGAAUGCACCGAGCUGUCUGUUUAAACGACUAGCACACAGCUCAGACACCGAUGCAUACCCCACAAGACAUACCACCAGAGGCCUCUUCACUGUCCCCAAGUCUAGAACUGACUAUGGGAGGCUCACAGUACUACAUAGAGUCAUCACUACAUGGAACUCUAUUCCACAUCAAGACAACUAAUGCAAGCAGUAGAAUCAGAUAUAUAUUUUUUAAACAUAAAACUACACCUUAUGGAACAGCGGAAACUGUGAAGCAACACAAACAUACGCACUAUACACACACGAUAACAUACGCACUAUACACACACGAUAACAUACGCACUAUACACACACGAUAACAUACGCACUAUACACACACGAUAACAUACGCACUAUACACACACGAUAACAUACGCACUAUACACACACGAUAACAUACGCACUAUACACACACGAUAACAUACGCACUAUACACACACGAUAACAUACGCACUAUACACACACGAUAACAUACGCACUAUACACACACGAUAACAUACGCACUAUACACACACGAUAACAUACGCACUAUACACACACGAUAACAUACGCACUAUACACACACGAUAACAUACGCACUAUACACACACGUACACAUGGAUUUUGUGAUGGAGCUAUGUGGUACUGCUGUAGGGGCCUGGGGGCACACACUUAGUGUAUUGUGAAAUCUGUUAUGAAUAUAUUGUAAUGUUUUAAAAAUUGUAUAACUGCCUUCAUUUUGCUGGACCCCAGGAAGAGUAGCUGCAGGAAGAGGAGCUGCUGCCCUGGCCGGAACUAAAAGGGGAUCCAUAAUAAAUACAAAUACCUGGAAGGUCAAUCAUUAUGAACCGUCUGCCUCUGAAUGUGUCAUAGCUCUGUUUGUUAGUCACUGUGAUCUGAAAUGGAGAGAUGUUUUACCCUUAUCCUUACACCGUUACAGGCUCUGUUUGUUAGUCACUGUGAUCUGAAAUGGAGAGAUGUUUUACCCUUAUCCUUACACCGUUACAGGCUCUGUUUGUUAGUCACUGUGAUCUGAAAUGGAGAGAUGUUUUACCCUUAUCCUUACACCGUUACAUGCUCUGUUUGUUAGUCACUGUGAUCUGAAAUGGAGAGAUGUUUUACCCUUAUCCUUACACCGUUACAGGCUCUGUUUGUUAGUCACUGUGAUCUGAAAUGGAGAGAUGUUUUACCCUUAUCCUUACACCGUUACAGGCUCUGUUUGUUAGUCACUGUGAUCUGAAAUGGAGAGAUGUUUUACCCUUAUCCUUACACCGUUACAGGCUCCAAACUGUUCCCAGAAAUAUCCUUUAUGCAAUUCAUGCUUCAUAUGUUUCAGUGCAGAAUCAUAUUUCAACUGAGUUAAGUUUUAAACUAAAUCCUCAUGACAGUUACUGUGUCCCAAAUGGCACCCUAUUCCUCAGCUUGGCUACGGUCAAAAGUAGUGCACUAUGUAGGGAAUAAGGUGCUAAAUGGGGCCCCUAGUUGAUGAGUCGGUACUGUGUACUGCUAUCAUACUCUCUCCCUGGGCUAGUAGAGGAAGCCGUUAUCAUGGGUAAAACGAAGCCAGCUGGGAAGGACUACAUGUUGCACAUAAACAGCAUGGGAUCAUUGUAGACCCACCCUGCUUUUCAGAAUGAGAGAGUGAGAGAGUUUAGACACCUACCAAUGUGCUGUAAGUUGUUCUAGAUGCAAGUGUCUGCUAAAUGAUUCAAAUGUUAUGUAAAUGAUGAUCACUGCAGACUGCUGCAUGAAUGUCAUUUGUGACACACCUAUGCAUGUAAUGAUGCUUUAAAUGAAAAAAAAAUGUGAAGAAAUUACAAUGAACAUUUAUCUGUUCAUUUGGAAUGCAUUACGUUGUUGCUACUGGUCAAUCAUUAAAGGUAUAAUCCCAAACUUCAGGUUCUGCUGUUUUUAAAGAGGUGACUUAAUCUUCGCCUUACCAUAGUGUUUCAGGAAGGGUUGAAAUUCAUUCUGGACUGUCUUUCUCUGCAACUGGAACACAGACCGCUGCCACAUGGGCAUAAUACUGUGUACAAGUAGAUAGGAACACAAGCACCAAAGGACAUCACUAUUUGAUAGGUUACAUUUACAUGAGGUUACAAAUAACAUGGAACUUGGGCAGUGAACUGAUUUGCACUUGAACACCGUGUCCACGCCACUACUCAGCCUCAUGGCAUACAACAAUACACUUGACAUGGCUGCUGAAAUUAUUCUUAAAGUCAAUUCACAAACUGCUGUCAUCCGACAUCAGCAUAUAUAUUAGCAUUUUUGCAGGGGUAUGACAUUUGUGCAUCUAACCUUCUCACUCAUCAUUAUUCACGAUUCAUUCAGGACUAUCCCUAAUCAUGGUAGCAUCCACAUGAAUGUAUUAGUGUUUAGAAACAUAUAUUCUUAUUUACAAUAAAAGUCACUUCAAAAUGUCUCAAAUUAUUUACCAUGUCAUUAUCUAAUGGGAACAAAAUAAUCUGAAACACAAGCAAAGCAAAAACCAAGAAAGGUUCAAAUCUCACCUUGUAAAAAACUGUUUUAAACAAGCGGAGGUGUGGUCAUAUUUUAGGACCCAAACUCAGGUACUCAUGUCUUUCCUAUUCAACUAAACGGCAUGAAUAAGGCUUGUAAUGACUUCUAAUUUUUGUAAAUAUAUUAUAUUCAAUUUAUAGAACGACUAACUAAGA
Oncorhynchus keta (chum salmon) is the source of this 4777-nucleotide long non-coding RNA. RefSeq lists it as uncharacterized. Lineage: Eukaryota; Metazoa; Chordata; Actinopteri; Salmoniformes; Salmonidae. The record is from RefSeq and is a predicted model, not a curated record. The transcript is spliced from 4 exons.